Molecule: ribosomal RNA, 836 nt
Filed under: Engraulis encrasicolus (European anchovy)
Lineage: Eukaryota; Metazoa; Chordata; Actinopteri; Clupeiformes; Engraulidae
Description: partial 16S ribosomal RNA
Rfam family: Bacterial large subunit ribosomal RNA
Source: RNAcentral
UAGUACCGCAAGGGAAAGCUGAAAGAGAAAUGAAAUAACCCAUUAAAGCACAGAGAAGCAGAGAUAACCUCUCGUACCUUUUGCAUCAUGAUUCAGCAAGUUAACUCAAGCAAAGAGCACUCUAGUUUGCACCCCCGAAACUUGACGAGCUACUCCGAGACAGCCAACUAUGGGCCAACCCGUCUCUGUGGCAAAAGAGUGGGAAGAUCUCCGAGUAGAGGCAAAAAACCUACCGAGCCAAGUUAUAGCUGGUUGCCCAAUAAAUGAAUACAAGUUCAGCCCUGCCUAGCCCGACUCACACCAGUUUUACGAAAAAAGACAAAGAGCUCACUCGCAGGAGUUAAUCAGAGGAGGUACAGCUCCCCUGAUACAGGAUACAACCUUUUUAGGAGAUAAAAGAAUAUUGCCAAACAAGGCCUUGGGCCUCAGUGGGCCUGAAAGCAGCCAUCUGAUCUGAAAGCGUUAAAGCUCCGGCCAAAAGAAAGCCUUUUAUUUAAUCUUAAUAUCUGCUCCCCUAAACCUUAUUGGGCCUCUCCAUGCAUCCAUGGAAGAGACUAUGCUGGAACGAGUAACAAGAAGAAUGAACUUCUCCACGCACAAGUGUAUGUCAAAUUGGACCAACCAUCGACAAUCAACGAACCCAACAAAAGAGGGCCCUACACACCCGCCACCUCUGACCAAGAAAACUAUGUUCCCCAGAAUCGUUGCCCCGACACAGGAGUGCCAGAACAAGGAAAGACUUAAAGAAAAAAAAGGAACUCGGCAAACCCAGACCUCGCCUGUUUACCAAAAACAUCGCCUCUUGCAUUCCAAAGUAUAAGAGGUCCCACCUGCCC